UUCCUGAUAGCUUAAAGGUAAAGCAUUUGGUUGUUAACCAUUGGAUUGCAGGUUCGAAUCUUGCUCAGGAAG
RNAcentral lists this transfer RNA (72 nucleotides) under Plocamium cartilagineum. RNAcentral's name for it is "tRNA-Asn". It matches the Rfam family "tRNA". Rfam says of the family: Transfer RNA (tRNA) molecules are approximately 80 nucleotides in length. Their secondary structure includes four short double-helical elements and three loops (D, anti-codon, and T loops). Further hydrogen bonds mediate the characteristic L-shaped molecular structure. tRNAs have two regions of fundamental functional importance: the anti-codon, which is responsible for specific mRNA codon recognition, and the 3' end, to which the tRNAs corresponding amino acid is attached (by aminoacyl-tRNA synthetases). tRNAs cope with the degeneracy of the genetic code in two manners: having more than one tRNA (with a specific anti-codon) for a particular amino acid; and 'wobble' base-pairing, i.e. permitting non-standard base-pairing at the 3rd anti-codon position. The record is from RNAcentral. Lineage: Eukaryota; Rhodophyta; Florideophyceae; Plocamiales; Plocamiaceae.